This 330-nucleotide ribosomal RNA is filed under the name uncultured eukaryote. RNAcentral's name for it is "partial 18S ribosomal RNA". It matches the Rfam family "Eukaryotic small subunit ribosomal RNA", at positions 1470 to 1796 of the family's 1831-position model. The record is from RNAcentral.
CCCUUAGAUGUCCGGGGCUGCACGCGCGCUACACUGAAGGAAUCAGCGUGCUAGAAAACCUUGUUUGACAUGGCUAGGUAACCCGUUGAAAAUCUUUCGUGAUUGGGAUCGGGACUUGCAAAUGUGUCCCUUGAACGAGGAAUUCCCAGUAAGUGCGGGUCAUAAGCUCGCGCUGAUUACGUCCCUGCCCUUGUACACACCGCCCGUCGCUGCCCGGAACUGAGCCGUUUCGAGAAGACUGGGGACUGCGAACUUUGGGCUGGAAAACAGCUUUUUGUUUGUGGAAACCACUUUAAUCGCAGCGGCUUGAACCGGGCAAAAGUCGUAACA